GAUGAACGCUGGCGGUAUGCCUAACACAUGCAAGUCGAACGGGAACCUUCGGGUUUUAGUGGCGGACGGGUGAGUAACGCGUGAGAAUCUGCCUUCAGGAUGGGGACAACAAUUGGAAACGAUUGCUAAUACCCGAUAUGACGAAAGUUGAAAGAUUUAUCGCCUGGAGAUGAGCUCGCGUCAGAUUAGCUAGAUGGUGUGGUAAAGGCGCACCAUGGCGACGAUCUGUAGCUGGUCUGAGAGGAUGAGCAGCCACACUGGGACUGAGACACGGCCCAGACUCCUACGGGAGGCAGCAGUGGGGAAUUUUCCGCAAUGGGCGCAAGCCUGACGGAGCAAUACCGCGUGAGGGAGGAAGGCUCUUGGGUCGUAAACCUCUUUUCUCAGGGAAGAACAAAAUGACGGUACCUGAGGAAUCAGCAUCGGCUAACUCCGUGCCAGCAGCCGCGGUAAUACGGAGGAUGCAAGCGUUAUCCGGAAUGAUUGGGCGUAAAGCGUCCGUAGGUGGUUAUGUAAGUCUGUGGUUAAAGCGUGGGGCUCAACCCCAUAAGGGCCAUGGAAACUACAAGACUUGAGUAAAGUAGGGGUAGAGGGAAUUCCCAGUGUAGCGGUGAAAUGCGUAGAGAUUGGGAAGAACACCGGUGGCGAAAGCGCUCUACUGGACUUAAACUGACACUGAGGGACGAAAGCUAGGGGAGCGAAAGGGAUUAGAUACCCCUGUAGUCCUAGCCGUAAACGAUGGAUACUAGGUGUUGCCCG
RNAcentral lists this ribosomal RNA (759 nucleotides) under uncultured cyanobacterium. RNAcentral's name for it is "bacterial SSU rRNA". It matches the Rfam family "Bacterial small subunit ribosomal RNA", at positions 28 to 829 of the family's 1533-position model. The record is from RNAcentral. Lineage: Bacteria; Bacillati; Cyanobacteriota.